This is a long non-coding RNA of Prunus persica (peach), 1104 nucleotides long. RefSeq lists it as uncharacterized. The transcript has 8 exons. NCBI's taxonomy places the organism in Eukaryota, Viridiplantae, Streptophyta, Magnoliopsida, Rosales, Rosaceae. The record is from RefSeq and is a predicted model, not a curated record.
UCUCACUCACUCACGAAACUCACGAAACGAAACCCUACACUAUUUCUCUCCCGAUCUGAGACUAACCCUCACCUCAUCGGCCGCCGUCCCUUGGCUCUCUGUCUCUCUCUCUGCCUCUCUCUCGACUCGUCCCUUGGCUCUCAUCUCGAACCAAACAUCAUCCAAUUUUAUUGGUUUUUGGAGCGAAUCCUUGUAAAUUCUGGAGGGCUCUGGUUCAUUCUAAGUAGUUGUGCUUAGUCUCUAUGGGUUUGGAUUAAUAGGCAAAAUUGAAGUUUCAUCUUUCUUUUUCUUGAAAAUUAUGGUGUGAGGAAGCUGGAAGCAGUGUUCGCGGUUCUGAUUGCAACAAUGGCACUGUCAUUUGCAUGGAUGUUUGGGGAAGCUAAACCCAGUGGCACCGAACUUCUUAUUGGUAUUUUGGUUCCUAAACUUAGCUCCAGAACAAUAAAGCACAUGAGAAAGCAUACAACCCAUGUAAAUAAAACAUGUCACCCUCCCGACUAGUUGUUUAGCGUCGCAGCUGCUGCUGCUGCUGCCUGCUGCUGCUGCUGCCUGCUGCCUGCUGCUGCUGCUGCUGCCUGCUGCCUGCUGCUGCUGCUGCUGCUGCUGCCUCCUGCUGCUGCUGCUACUGCUGGUAUUCUGAGCUUUGAAAGUUUGGAAAAUUUUGUUUAAAUGGAGGUCCGAAGAUAUAGCUUCAUUGCAAUAUGUGCCAAGCAUUGAGGAGAUGGAGUUCUAUGAAUCAAUUGAAAUGGAAAUGGGGAGUAAAACAUCCAUGACAAAUUUGAAUAAGACUCUCCCUUCUUAGUGUGAUUAAGAUAUGUUGGAAGGUUGCUUUGUGAAUGCUUUUGAAAGAAUGGAUGCAGCAGAUUUUUUGCAAGGAUAUUAUCUCUAUGUGUAUUUUUGUGAUGGGUUGUAAUCUUUAAUGUCAUAAGUUUAAUUUGGUUUGUGUAUUAUUUUUUGUAAUGGUUUGUAAGAGAUUAUAUUUCCUUUCCUUGGUUGGUUGGUUGAAUUGAAUGUGUGUAUGUGAGAUUUAUUUAGUUUAGAAACUUAGAUUGGAAUGAUGGAUUUUUAUAGCUUGAAUUUACAUAAUUUCAGGUUUUGAAAGAG